AUUGAACGCUGGCGGCAGGCCUAACACAUGCAAGUCGAGCGGAUGAAGGGAGCUUGCUCCUGGAUUCAGCGGCGGACGGGUGAGUAAUGCCUAGGAAUCUGCCUGGUAGUGGGGGAUAACGUCCGGAAACGGGCGCUAAUACCGCAUACGUCCUGAGGGAGAAAGUGGGGGAUCUUCGGACCUCACGCUAUCAGAUGAGCCUAGGUCGGAUUAGCUAGUUGGUGGGGUAAAGGCCUACCAAGGCGACGAUCCGUAACUGGUCUGAGAGGAUGAUCAGUCACAAUGGAACUGAGACACGGUCCAGACUCCCACGGGAGGCAGCAGUGGGGAAUAUUGGACAAUGGGCGAAAGCCUGAUCCAGCCAUGCCGCGUGUGUGAAGAAGGUCUUCGGAUUGUAAAGCACUUUAAGUUGGGAGGAAGGGCAGUAAGUUAAUACCUUGCUGUUUUGACGUUACCAACAGAAUAAGCACCGGCUAACUUCGUG
RNAcentral lists this ribosomal RNA (484 nucleotides) under uncultured bacterium. RNAcentral's name for it is "partial 16S ribosomal RNA". It matches the Rfam family "Bacterial small subunit ribosomal RNA", at positions 30 to 507 of the family's 1533-position model. The record is from RNAcentral.